GCCGCCUUAGCUCAGUUGGUUAGAGCGCUAGAUUGUGGAUCUAGAGGUCCCCCGUUCAAGCCGGGGAGGCGGUACCA
This 77-nucleotide transfer RNA is filed under the name Hyphomonas sp. Its description in RNAcentral is "tRNA-His". It matches the Rfam family "tRNA". Rfam says of the family: Transfer RNA (tRNA) molecules are approximately 80 nucleotides in length. Their secondary structure includes four short double-helical elements and three loops (D, anti-codon, and T loops). Lineage: Bacteria; Pseudomonadati; Pseudomonadota; Alphaproteobacteria; Hyphomonadales; Hyphomonadaceae. RNAcentral also lists the same sequence under 33 other names. The record is from RNAcentral.